UUCGCACAUAUCGUUGUACGUAUGAGUAUGUAUUUCUGGAAAUGCUCAGUUGAAGUGUGCAUAUGCAGUUGUGGUUUUGAUUGAAAAAUGGUGUGUCGAAUGCAGCUAGUUCUGGUAACAACUCUCAUGAUAUUGAUAACUUCAACACCAACUCAUGGAAUUUUCACCCUGAAGAAGUCACUCAUAAUAUUACAAUCUCGUCAUCGAAGAUUGGCUAAAUCGGCUUGCUGCUUGAUGCCAGUAUGUAAUGAUAAGAGCCAUUGUUAUCAAACAUUGAGUUGUGGACAUCUUUGUGAGGAACGGCUUUAUCCUUGGUCCAGAAAAUGAUAUGAGUAGUUAAGUAAAUGCAAUAACUGCAAUCCCUGGUAUCUUCAAAUGAUGCUGAUGUAGAAACUACUUUUAGACCUAAAGUAAGAUGUAAUUAAGAAAGUGAUUAUUUUUGAUACAAGAAAACGUAUGCAAAAUAUUCCUAGAUCCAAUAGUUUGAAUAAAAUAUUUCGAGUGAACAAAAUGUUGUA
Leptinotarsa decemlineata (Colorado potato beetle) is the source of this 518-nucleotide long non-coding RNA. RefSeq lists it as uncharacterized. Lineage: Eukaryota; Metazoa; Arthropoda; Insecta; Coleoptera; Chrysomelidae. The record is from RefSeq and is a predicted model, not a curated record.